RNAcentral lists this ribosomal RNA (3054 nucleotides) under Pimelobacter simplex. RNAcentral's name for it is "23S ribosomal RNA". It matches the Rfam family "Bacterial large subunit ribosomal RNA". The record is from RNAcentral. Lineage: Bacteria; Bacillati; Actinomycetota; Actinomycetes; Propionibacteriales; Nocardioidaceae.
UGUGGCAAGUUGUUAAGGGCACAUGGUGGAUGCCUUGGCAUCGAGAGCCGAUGAAGGACGUGGGAGCCUGCGAUAUGCCCUGGGGAGUUGGCAACCGAGCGUUGAUCCGGGGAUGUCCGAAUGGGGAAACCCAGCACGAGUUAUGUCGUGUUACCUGCACCUGAAUGAAAUAGGGUGUGUGGAGGGGAACAAGGGGAAGUGAAACAUCUCAGUACCCUUAGGAAGAGAAAACAACCGUGAUUCCGAGAGUAGUGGCGAGCGAAAUCGGAUGAGGCUAAACCUACUUCAUGUGAUAGCCGGUAGGCGUUGUGGAGUGGGGGUUGUGGGAGUGUUGUUGUUGCCUCUGCCGGGGUGGCGCACAGUAAGAAACCAGACACGAGGUCGAAGUCCGUUGGAAAGCGGUGCCGUAGCGGGUGAUAGCCCCGUAGACGAUAGGGUCUGGCUGUGUUCAGCAUUUCCCAAGUAACACGCUACUCCUGGAAUGGUGUGUGAAUCUGGCGGGACCACCCGUUAAGCCUAAAUACUCCUCGAUGACCGAUAGCGGACCAGUACCGUGAGGGAAAGGUGAAAAGUACCCCUGGCGGGGAGUGAAAUAGUACCUGAACCAUGUGCCUACAAUCCGUCAGAGCCUUACAGGGUGAUGGCGUGCCUUUUGAAGAAUGAGCCUGCGAGUUAGCGAUACGUGGCGAGGUUAACCCGUGUGGGGUAGCCGUAGCGAAAGCGAGUCCGAAUAGGGCGUUUGAGUCGCGUGUUCUAGACCCGAAGCGGAGUGAUCUAUCCAUGGGCAGGUUGAAGCGCCGGUAAGACGGCGUGGAGGACCGAACCCACUUCAGUUGAAAAUGGAGGGGAUGACCUGUGGAUAGGGGUGAAAGGCCAAUCAAACUCCGUGAUAGCUGGUUCUCCCCGAAAUGCAUUUAGGUGCAGCGUUGCGUGUUUCUUGCCGGAGGUAGAGCACUGGAUAGCCGAUGGGCCCGACCAGGUUACUGACGUUAGCCAAACUCCGAAUGCCGGUAAGUGUGAGCGUGGCAGUGAGACUGUGGGGGAUAAGCUUCAUAGUCGAGAGGGAAACAGCCCAGACCAUCGGCUAAGGCCCCUAAGAGGCGGCUAAGUGGAAAAGGAUGUGGAGUCGCAGUGACAACCAGGAGGUUGGCUUGGAAGCAGCCACCCUUGAAAGAGUGCGUAAUAGCUCACUGGUCAAGUGAUUCCGCGCCGACAAUGUAGCGGGGCUCAAGCCGCCCGCCGAAGCCAUGGCAAUCGCAUUCAACCCAGGCGUCUCCUUGAGAGGCGUCCAGGGGUGCGGUUGGGUAGGGGAGCGUCGUGUCACGGGUGAAGCGCCGGAGUGAUCCAGGUGUGGAUGUGACACGAGUGAGAAUGCAGGCAUGAGUAGCGAAUCACGGGUGAGAAACCCGUGCGCCGAUUGAUCAAGGGUUCCAGGGUCAAGCUAAUCUGCCCUGGGUAAGUCGGGACCUAAGGCGAGGCCGACAGGCGUAGUCGAUGGACAACGGGUUGAUAUUCCCGUACCGGCGAAAUGGCGCCCAUGAUGAGCCCGGUGAUGCUAACCACCCAAAGCACCUCGUAUCAAUGCCUUCGGGCUGCGAGCUUGGUGUGGAGCGUGGGACCCGACCCGGUAGUAGUCAAGCGAUGGGGUGACACAGGAAGGUAGCCCAACCGCCGCGAUGGUAGACGGCGGGUAAGCAUGUAGGGGGUGUGGUAGGCAAAUCCGCCACACGGCCGUUUGAUCGGUGGCCCUGAGAUGUGAUGCCGACCCCGUAGGGGGGAAGUGGGUGAUCCUAUGCUGUCGAGAAAAACCUCUAGCGAGCCAUGAGCCGCCCGUACCCGAAACCGACUCAGGUGAUCAGGUAGAGAAUACCGAGGCGAUCGAGACAACCAUGGUUAAGGAACUCGGCAAAAUGCCCCCGUAACCGACUGUUUACUAAAAACACAGGUCCGUGCGAAGUUGUAAGACGAUGUAUACGGACUGACUCCUGCCCGGUGCUGGAAGGUUAAGAGGACGGGUUAGACCGCAAGGUCGAAGCUCAGAAUUUAAGCCCCAGUAAACGGCGGUGGUAACUAUAACCAUCCUAAGGUAGCGAAAUUCCUUGUCGGGUAAGUUCCGACCUGCACGAAUGGAGUAACGACUUUCCUACUGUCUCAACCAUGGACUCGGCGAAAUUGCACUACGAGUAAAGAUGCUCGUUACGCGCGGCAGGACGGAAAGACCCCGGGACCUUUACUAUAGUUUGGCAUUGGUGUUUGGUUCGGCUUGUGUAGGAUAGGUGGGAGACUGUGAAACCUCGACGCCAGUUGGGGUGGAGUCAACGUUGAAAUACCACUCUGGUCGUACUAGAUGUCUAACCUAGGGCCAUGAUCUGGUUCAGGGACAGUGCCUGAUGGGUAGUUUAACUGGGGCGGUUGCCUCCCAAAGAGUAACGGAGGCGCUCAAAGGUUCCCUCAGCCUGGUUGGCAAUCAGGUGUUGAGUGUAAGUGCACAAGGGAGCUUGACUGUGAGACAGACAUGUCGAGCAGGGACGAAAGUCGGAACUAGUGAUCCGGCAACUGCGAGUGGAAGCGUUGUCGCUCAACGGAUAAAAGGUACCCCGGGGAUAACAGGCUGAUCUUCCCCAAGAGUCCAUAUCGACGGGAUGGUUUGGCACCUCGAUGUCGGCUCGUCGCAUCCUGGGGCUGGAGUAGGUCCCAAGGGUUGGGCUGUUCGCCCAUUAAAGCGGCACGCGAGCUGGGUUUAGAACGUCGUGAGACAGUUCGGUCCCUAUCCGCCGCGCGCGUAGGAAACUUGAGAAAGGCUGUCCCUAGUACGAGAGGACCGGGAUGGACGAACCUCUGGUGUGCCAGUUGUACCGCCAGGUGCAUGGCUGGUUGGCUACGUUCGGAAGUGAUAACCGCUGAACGCAUCUAAGCGGGAAGCACGUUUCAAGAUGAGGUUUCCCACCCCUUGUGGGUUAAGGCCCCCAAAAGAUGAUUGGGUUGAUAGGCCGGAGGUGUACAGCAGCAAUGCCCAGCCGACCGGUACUAAUAGGCCGAAGACUUGCCACAACA